AGACCCCUGGAGAGACCUCACCAUGCAUAGAGACCCUCCCCAUGGUCAACACUCAUAAAGCAUUGUCUUGUAUCUGACUCAGAUUGCCACUGGGGAAGCCAUGAGAAGGGACCUUGCGGGGCUCCAACUCCAGGAAGCAUAACUGACCGAGGGCCUACGGCUAUGCUUGGAAGUCCAAGGCAGGGUUUGCACAGAGGCCUCGUCCCCCUCAUGCCUGCUCCCAGCCAAUGUCCCAGGGCAGGUGUUUCCUCUACUGAAAUCUGCACACUUGAUCUAGUUUGGGCUUCUGUUUCUCAGAAGACCCAGAUUCAGACACCACUCCCACAUCUUUUGAGUCAGAAGCCUCAGUAACAGACCUUCCCUGCUACAGUGUCUGGGCCAAGAAUUGGUGAAUUUGUUGGGCAAGCAGUCUUAUCUCAGUGGUGGUCACACACUGACUCCUGAAAAACUUGGGGCUGCAGGUCGAGCAUGUUCAAUUCACACAUAAGUGGAUACGAUUGCAUAUAAACUUUCUAUGACUGUAAUUUUUUGAAAGGUCUGCCUCGUGUCAGGCAUCAAAGGAUUGAGGAUCCAGGAGUGCAAAGUGAGGAAAACACACUCCUUACCUCCGAGUUGCUCAUAGACUAAUGCGGAAGGGAGGCAAGGAUGAAGGUGAUGAUAGGAAGAGAAGACAGGAAAAGUGGGAUGGUGGACUUGCAUAAGAAAUAAGGACCCUGUGUUUUGGAAAGAAAAAAAUAAUGGAGGCAGAAGGAAAGCAAAGUAAGCAGAAGAGGUAAAUGGAAACACAGAGAAGAGCCAGAGAGCUUGAUUUUAGGAGAGCUACCGA
Molecule: long non-coding RNA, 826 nt
Organism: Symphalangus syndactylus (siamang)
Lineage: Eukaryota; Metazoa; Chordata; Mammalia; Primates; Hylobatidae
Source: RefSeq, a predicted model, not a curated record